GUUUCUUUCAGAAGUGGACUUAUCAAAGCAACAGUGUUGUUAAUUUGAAGAACAAUGGCAGAUACAAACCCAGAUAAAAUCCCUCAGUGCGAAAAGAGCAAACCAUGCCACGGUGAAGGCAAGGGUGAAGGCAAGGGUGAAGGCAAGGGAAAAGGACCAGGACAAGGGCAAGGUCAAGGCAAGGGUCAGGGUCAUGGUCACGGACACGGUCACGGACCUGGAAAGGAUGGAAAGGAUGGCAAAGGCAAACCAUAAUGAAAGGAGCUGAAUGAAGAGACGUCUGAAGUCUGUCUGAUGCUGUUGUUUUUUUUCUUGCACCAUGACUAAUAAACUAAAACAUGUAUAAUUAUACCACAUAUGUUUGUUUUUAAUUAAAUGAUCAUCAAUAAAGUGUUUGGUAUCAAAGAAUGGCUUUUAGAAUCGUUGACUCCUUAAGCUUUGAAAUUCCAAAUAUAAAACGAAAUGAAGUAGCUGUGGCAAGGUG
Molecule: long non-coding RNA, 484 nt
Organism: Ictalurus punctatus (channel catfish)
Lineage: Eukaryota; Metazoa; Chordata; Actinopteri; Siluriformes; Ictaluridae
Source: Ensembl